UACGAAGGGGGCGAGCGUUGUUCGGAUUUACUGGGCGUAAAGGGCGCGUAGGCGGCGGGCCAAGUCGAGUGUGAAAGCCCCGGGCUCAACCUGGGGAGGGUCACGCGAUACUGGUCGACUCGAAGGCAGGAGAGGGUAGUGGAAUUCCCGGUGUAGUGGUGAAAUGCGUAGAUAUCGGGAGGAACACCAGUGGCGAAGGCGACUACCUGGCCUGUUCUUGACGCUGAGGCGCGAAAGCUAGGGGAGCAAACGGG
This 254-nucleotide ribosomal RNA is filed under the name uncultured bacterium. RNAcentral's name for it is "partial 16S ribosomal RNA". It matches the Rfam family "Bacterial small subunit ribosomal RNA", at positions 524 to 776 of the family's 1533-position model. The record is from RNAcentral.